RNAcentral lists this long non-coding RNA (329 nucleotides) under Populus tremula. Its description in RNAcentral is "long non-coding RNA (PTRE_LNC003039)". Lineage: Eukaryota; Viridiplantae; Streptophyta; Magnoliopsida; Malpighiales; Salicaceae. The record is from RNAcentral.
GCUGGAGCUGCUACGGUGGGGGGAUGGUCGUCCGGUCUUUAAUCCUCUUGGCAGAUCUGAUGGUGUCGGUGCUGGUGCUGUUGCCGAGGGAGGGAGAUGCUGGAGACGGCGCCUGUUUUGGUCGUUGAUGGUGGAGGCGCCUGCUGCUGUCGUUGUUUCUGUCACCGGCGGUGGAAGGUUUGAGGAAAAAAAAAAGGAACGGCCGGCUGAAGGGAGAAGUCAGGGGGGAGCUGCAGUGUAGAGAGAAAAAUUCAACAUGGGGGCUGCUGCUUGGCCUGUUUUGAAAGGAAGAAAAAAAACGUUAAGAGCCCCGGGGCUCUCUGUUUUUU